Small nuclear RNA from Callithrix jacchus (white-tufted-ear marmoset), 137 nucleotides. Its record names the gene U12. It matches the Rfam family "U12 minor spliceosomal RNA". Rfam says of the family: Although the U12 sequence is very divergent from that of U2, the two are functionally analogous. NCBI's taxonomy places the organism in Eukaryota, Metazoa, Chordata, Mammalia, Primates, Cebidae. The record is from Ensembl.
AUGCUUUAAACUUAUGAGUAAGGAAAAUAAUGAUUCGGGGUGAUGCCCGAAUGCUUAAAAAAAAUAAAAGCUUUUUUGACUGUGUGAGAUAGUGUCUCAUUGUGGUUUUGACUGGAUUACAAAAAAUGUUGUACAUA